AGUUGUAGCUAGGGCUCUUUUAAUUUUUGAAAAAUGUCUGCUCUGUAAUAGUCUCAGGAAAACCAGAUCUAAGAGUCCUUCUUUUAUAUCUCUCAUUUUUAAAGAUACUAAUUCCUAUACUCAUGGUUAAGUCGUAGCGUUUUGUUCUGAAUUGGUCGUCUAAUCCAGUUGACUCCAACAAUUACUGAUGCAUGAUUUGUUUGCUUAGAUUCAAUUCCACUUCAGGAACACUUCUUUUUCUACUGGAAGAGUGGAGUUUCAGAAGAAGGUCUUUACCGAAAAAUUGUCAUAAUUUCAGAAUUCUCUUAAGAAUGUACCUGAAUUCAGAAUAUUCCAAAAUGGGUCAAACACUCUGAUUCUAAAACUUCACCUGGUACUUAGAAACAAAACACAAAACAUAAGCAACUAUCUAUAUUUAAUUAUCUAUCAUCUAUAUCUCUAUCCAUCGAUUCAUUGGACCAAAUAUCUAACUAGCUAACUAUGAAAGACAUGAAGAUCUCUGUUGAUACCUUAAUAAAAGAUUCUUCAGUGAUACUGCUAUUGGCAAUAGCCACAUACGGUGACCCAGAAGUAUUUAUAUCCUUCAAAGGAAGGCACCAUGGUAACAUUGAUCCAGAAUUGAUAAAUAGUUCACAUUACUUUUUAAGAGUAACUAAAAGUGUGCAGGUGCAAAUGUCAAGUGCUGAAUGAAGUAAAAGCACCUAUCACCAUCCUGGAGGACGAUGGCAGCAGAAUCAAGGGCACUGGCAGCCCAUCACAGCUCUGUCACUGUCAAAAUCCCUAUCAGCGGUCUUUCCAUAAGAUUAUCUGCUAUACCAGGGUCAUCAUUUUCAAUGGACAGGAUUCUGUUUGGUUUUCAAGCUUCAACUUAGACCAAAGAAGAGCUGUUACUCCACUACACUGAGGCAGAAGAAACACGAGGAUGUGGAAAGAUUAAGGCCUACCGGGGAUUCCUGUGAAACUUUUCCAAGCUGUUUCAGCAUUCAUGCUAUAGUCAUUACCACUUACCUAAUUUUAGCAAUGCGAAACUCUGGGAUUGCUGCAGUUUCUGAUUGCCACAACAUCAUCAAUUCUGCUCACGCUGAGUUUGCUGCACAAAACUUUCCAAACGCUAUAAUCUUGAAAACCAUCUGAUUGUCUUUUCUACUUUGAAGAAUAUGAGAAAUACAGUAACAUAUUAGUAAUUAUUUUACAAAAAUGAUUACUUUCCAAAAUUUUUAGUAGUUAUAAAAACUUAAUUUCAUUCAGUGCAUAACUUCUAAAAACAAAAAUAAUAAGAAAAUCCUGUUUGAAAAUAUG
This is an RNA transcript of Callithrix jacchus (white-tufted-ear marmoset), 1299 nucleotides long. RefSeq lists it as uncharacterized. NCBI's taxonomy places the organism in Eukaryota, Metazoa, Chordata, Mammalia, Primates, Cebidae. The record is from RefSeq and is a predicted model, not a curated record.